CAAAAACAUGUCUUUUUGAUUAUAAUUUAAAGUCUAACCUGCCCAAUGAGGAGUUAAAUGGCCGCGGUAAUUUGACCGUGCAAAGGUAGCAUAAUCAUUAGUUUUUUAAUUGAAAGCUGGAAUGAAUGGUUGGACGAGAAAAUAACUGUCUCAAUUUAAUUGGAAUUAGAAUUUUAUUUAUAAGUAAAAAAGCUUAUAUGAAUUUAAAAGACGAGAAGACCCUAUAGAAUUUAAUAUAUUAAUAUGUUUAUUAUUUUAGAAUUUUUAUUUAUAUAUAUAGAAGUAUAUUUUGUUGGGGCGAUAGAAAAAUUAAUUAAACUUUUUUUAUAUUUUAACAUUAAUGUAUGUGUAAGUGAUCCGUUUAUUACGAUUAAAAGAUUAAAUUACCUUAGGGAUAACAGCGUAAUUUUUUUUUAGAGUUCUUAUCGAAAAAAGAGUUUGCGACCUCGAUGUUGGAUUAAAAUUAACUUUUGGUGUAGGGGCU
This 484-nucleotide ribosomal RNA is filed under the name Xylotrupes florensis. Its description in RNAcentral is "partial large subunit ribosomal RNA". It matches the Rfam family "Bacterial large subunit ribosomal RNA", at positions 1808 to 2563 of the family's 2925-position model. The record is from RNAcentral. Lineage: Eukaryota; Metazoa; Arthropoda; Insecta; Coleoptera; Scarabaeidae.